This 434-nucleotide ribosomal RNA is filed under the name uncultured Lachnospiraceae bacterium. RNAcentral describes it as "partial 16S ribosomal RNA". It matches the Rfam family "Bacterial small subunit ribosomal RNA", at positions 341 to 792 of the family's 1533-position model. Lineage: Bacteria; Bacillati; Bacillota; Clostridia; Lachnospirales; Lachnospiraceae. The record is from RNAcentral.
ACGGAAGGCAGCAGUGGGGAAUAUUGCACAAUGGGCGAAAGCCUGAUGCAGCGACGCCGCGUGAGUGAAGAAGUAUCUCGGUAUGUAAAGCUCUAUCAGCAGGGAAGAAAAUGACGGUACCUGCCUAAGAAGCCCCGGCUAACUACGUGCCAGCAGCCGCGGUAAUACGUAGGGGGCAAGCGUUAUCCGGAUUUACUGGGUGUAAAGGGAGCGUAGACGGUUUGGCAAGUCUGAAGUGAAAUGCGGGGGCUCAACUCCUGAACUGCUUUGGAAACUGUCGAACUAGAGUGCAGGAGAGGUAAGUGGAAUUCCUAGUGUAGCGGUGAAAUGCGUAGAUAUUAGGAGGAACACCAGUGGCGAAGGCGGCUUACUGGACUGUAACUGACGUUGAGGCUCGAAAGCGUGGGGAGCAAACAGGAUUAGAUACCCUGGUA